GCACUGGUAGCUUAGUCCUAAAAGCAUCGGUCUUGUAAUCCGGAGACGGAGGGUUAGGCCCCCUCCCAGUGCC
This 73-nucleotide transfer RNA is filed under the name Rhodeus shitaiensis. RNAcentral describes it as "tRNA-Thr". It matches the Rfam family "tRNA". From Rfam's summary of the family: Transfer RNA (tRNA) molecules are approximately 80 nucleotides in length. Their secondary structure includes four short double-helical elements and three loops (D, anti-codon, and T loops). The record is from RNAcentral. Lineage: Eukaryota; Metazoa; Chordata; Actinopteri; Cypriniformes; Acheilognathidae.